GGCUGGUCCGAGUGCAGUGCAGUGGUGUUUACAACUAAUUGAUCACAACCAGUUACAGAUUUCUUUGUUCCUUCUCCACUCCCAUUGCUUCACUUGACUAGCCUAAA
Molecule: unclassified non-coding RNA, 107 nt
Organism: Cavia porcellus (domestic guinea pig)
Lineage: Eukaryota; Metazoa; Chordata; Mammalia; Rodentia; Caviidae
Rfam family: Y RNA
About the family: Y RNAs are components of the Ro ribonucleoprotein particle (Ro RNP), in association with Ro60 and La proteins.
Source: Ensembl